RNAcentral lists this transfer RNA (74 nucleotides) under Streptomyces sp. 5-10. Its description in RNAcentral is "tRNA-Pro". It matches the Rfam family "tRNA". Rfam says of the family: Transfer RNA (tRNA) molecules are approximately 80 nucleotides in length. Their secondary structure includes four short double-helical elements and three loops (D, anti-codon, and T loops). Lineage: Bacteria; Bacillati; Actinomycetota; Actinomycetes; Kitasatosporales; Streptomycetaceae. The record is from RNAcentral.
CGGAGUGUGGAGCAGUCAGGUAGCUCUCCUGUUUUGGGAACAGGUGGUCGCCGGUUCGAAUCCGGCCACUCCGA